AGAGUCUUGUUUCCAGGCGUGGAUGACAGAGGUUUGAGGAAACUGCAGUCUCUGCCGAGGUCCUGACUCCCGAAAAAGACAGAGGAUACCUGCGUCGUUCUUGUGGGUGGAGAAUCUGAAGGAUAACCAGUCAUUUGGAGUGCACGUGGAGAGGUGCAUGCUACGCUGUCCGACCUCUUGGCUCGCAAAACGUCGGCGACCUCUUUGGGAGCAGGACGUAACUGAAGGUCUCACUAGUCCGGAUAUUUCAGUAUUAUCUGAGCUGCGUGCAGCCUCACCUGAGAGGGAGAAGGGAGAGGAGCUGUGUCCACUGGCGCCUCCGUUUUCUUUGCUGCUGAGAGAGGAGGACGAGCUGGGUUUGGAUGUGGAUGCGCUGCUGGAGAACUGAC
Long non-coding RNA from Epinephelus moara (kelp grouper), 389 nucleotides. RefSeq lists it as uncharacterized. The record is from RefSeq and is a predicted model, not a curated record. Lineage: Eukaryota; Metazoa; Chordata; Actinopteri; Perciformes; Serranidae. The transcript has 3 exons.